RNAcentral lists this ribosomal RNA (253 nucleotides) under uncultured bacterium. RNAcentral describes it as "partial 16S ribosomal RNA". It matches the Rfam family "Bacterial small subunit ribosomal RNA", at positions 524 to 776 of the family's 1533-position model. The record is from RNAcentral.
UACGUAGGGUGCGAGCGUUAAUCGGAAUUACUGGGCGUAAAGCGUGCGCAGGCGGUGAUGUAAGACAGAUGUGAAAUCCCCGGGCUCAACCUGGGAACUGCAUUUGUGACUGCAUCGCUGGAGUGCGGCAGAGGGGGAUGGAAUUCCGCGUGUAGCAGUGAAAUGCGUAGAUAUGCGGAGGAACACCGAUGGCGAAGGCAAUCCCCUGGGCCUGCACUGACGCUCAUGCACGAAAGCGUGGGGAGCGGACAGG